GUUUGACCUCAAAUCAGGUAGGAAUAGCGGCUGAACUUAAGCAUAUCAAUAAGCGGAGGAAAAGAAACCAACAGGGAUUGCCUUAGUAGCGGCGAGUGAAGCGGCAAAAGCUCAAUUUGAAAUCUGGCGCCUUCGGUGUCCGAGUUGUAAUUUGAGAUUGUAACCUUGGGGUUGGCUCUUGUCUAUGUUUCUUGACAGGACGUC
RNAcentral lists this ribosomal RNA (204 nucleotides) under Meyerozyma caribbica. RNAcentral's name for it is "partial 28S ribosomal RNA". It matches the Rfam family "Eukaryotic large subunit ribosomal RNA", at positions 1 to 204 of the family's 3401-position model. Lineage: Eukaryota; Fungi; Ascomycota; Pichiomycetes; Serinales; Debaryomycetaceae. The record is from RNAcentral.